RNAcentral lists this transfer RNA (64 nucleotides) under Cavia porcellus (domestic guinea pig). It matches the Rfam family "tRNA". From Rfam's summary of the family: Transfer RNA (tRNA) molecules are approximately 80 nucleotides in length. Their secondary structure includes four short double-helical elements and three loops (D, anti-codon, and T loops). Further hydrogen bonds mediate the characteristic L-shaped molecular structure. tRNAs have two regions of fundamental functional importance: the anti-codon, which is responsible for specific mRNA codon recognition, and the 3' end, to which the tRNAs corresponding amino acid is attached (by aminoacyl-tRNA synthetases). tRNAs cope with the degeneracy of the genetic code in two manners: having more than one tRNA (with a specific anti-codon) for a particular amino acid; and 'wobble' base-pairing, i.e. permitting non-standard base-pairing at the 3rd anti-codon position. The record is from Rfam by way of RNAcentral. Lineage: Eukaryota; Metazoa; Chordata; Mammalia; Rodentia; Caviidae.
GGGGAUUUAGCUCAGCGGCAUGAGCACCUGCCUUGUAAGCAGGCAGUCGUGAGCUUGAUCCCCG